RNAcentral lists this long non-coding RNA (957 nucleotides) under Mus musculus (house mouse). RNAcentral's name for it is "long non-coding RNA chr13:112884225-112885182". Lineage: Eukaryota; Metazoa; Chordata; Mammalia; Rodentia; Muridae. The record is from RNAcentral.
AUGGUCAAGGUGAAAGAAUUUGCCAUACUGAUAGGGCUGCCUUCAAUUUGGGCAAAACGGGUACUGUUGCUACCAAUGACCCUUUACUGACCUCAACUACUUGGUCUACAUGUUCCAGUAUAAGCCCUACCUAUAGUCCAUGGCACAGUUAAUGCCUGAGAAUGGGAAACUUGUCAUCAACACGAAGAAGCCUAGCUCCAUCUUCCAGGAACAACAUCCUGCUAACAUCAAAUCAGGUGACGCUGGUGCUGAGUAUGUUGUGGAGUCUGCUAGUGUCUUCACUUUAUAGUGCGGGCCAGGACCCACUUGCAGAGUGGAGUCAAAAGAGCUAUCAUCAUCUCUGCCCCUUUUGCUGAUGCCCCAACACAUACCCAAGUGAUGGGUACAAACCACAAGUGGCACUUCACUUGUAAGCAAUACCUUCUGCAUCCCCAACUGCUUAGAGCUCACGACCAAAGUCAACAAUGACAACCGAAUGUCAUGGAAGGACUCCAGGGCACGAACCAAGCCAUCACUGCCAUUCAGAAGACUGUGGAUGGCCCCUCGGGAAAGCUGUGGGGCUGGCCAGCCUUUAUUAUCACUGCAGCCACUACUGCUGUCUAAGCUGGGGAAAGGCCAUUCCAACCCGGGAGGGAAGCUCACUGGAAGGCCUUCUGUGUCCCUGCCUGCAGUGUGUCCACUGUGGAUCUGACAUGCCGCCGGGAGAAAGCUGCCAAGUAGGAUGACAUCAAGAAGGGGCAAAGCAGGCAUUGAAGGGCCACCAAAGGGCCUCCUGGGCUGUGAUGAGAACCAGGUUGUUUUAUGCAAUUUGUAUAGUAAUGCUCACUCUUCCAUCCUUGGUGAUAGGCUGGUGUUGCUCUCAGUGACAACUCUGUAAAGCUCACUUCCUUAUGUGACAACAGAUAUGGCUACAACAAUAGUGGUGGACCUCAAGGCCCACAUGGUCUCCAGGAGUAA